CAACUACUCCCUCUGUCCCAAAUUUCUUGUCUUAGAUUUGUCUAGAUAUGGAUGUAUCUAAUACUAAAAUGUGACUUGAUACAUCCGUAUCUAGACAAAUCUAAGACAAGAAUUUUGGGAUGGAGGGAGUACUUU
This is a non-coding RNA of Triticum aestivum (bread wheat), 135 nucleotides long. The record is from Rfam. NCBI's taxonomy places the organism in Eukaryota, Viridiplantae, Streptophyta, Magnoliopsida, Poales, Poaceae.